CACUCCGGUGGCCUAGUCGUUAGAGCGUCCGCCUCGAAAGCGGCAGAUCGUGGGUUCGGUCCCCGGUCGAGUCA
Non-coding RNA from Potamilus streckersoni, 74 nucleotides. The record is from the annotation of a GenBank genome assembly. NCBI's taxonomy places the organism in Eukaryota, Metazoa, Mollusca, Bivalvia, Unionida, Unionidae.